This 400-nucleotide ribosomal RNA is filed under the name uncultured bacterium. RNAcentral describes it as "bacterial SSU rRNA". It matches the Rfam family "Bacterial small subunit ribosomal RNA", at positions 355 to 772 of the family's 1533-position model. The record is from RNAcentral.
UGGGGAAUCUUGCACAAUGGGGGCAACCCUGAUGCAGCGACGCCGCGUGAGCGAUGAAGCCCUUCGGGGCGUAAAGCUCUUUCGACCGGAACGAUAAUGACGGUACCGGGAGAAGAAGCUGCGGCUAACUACGUGCCAGCAGCCGCGGUAAUACGUAGGCAGCAAGCGUUGUUCGGAGUUACUGGGCGUAAAGAGUGCGUAGGCGGUUUUCUAAGUUCGGUGUGAAAUCUCCCGGCUUAACUGGGAGGGUGCGCCGAAGACUGGGAUGCUGGAGUGUGGGAAAGGCAGGCGGAAUUCCAGGUGUAGCGGUGACAUGCGUAGGUAUCAGGAGGAACACCGGCGGUGUAGACGGCUUGCUAGCCCAUAACUGACGCUGAGGCACGAAAGCGUGGGUAGCAAA